Molecule: unclassified non-coding RNA, 516 nt
Filed under: Melitaea cinxia (Glanville fritillary)
Lineage: Eukaryota; Metazoa; Arthropoda; Insecta; Lepidoptera; Nymphalidae
Description: misc RNA ENSMCXG00005001849.1
Source: RNAcentral
UGAGUAACGAUCGCUAUCAGGUGAUAACAACCGGUAACGACAACUCUCCGAGGCACUAUAAGGUCUCCCACAAGUAUAUACGCUCUAAUUAGAAAUAAAUUUUAAUACAAAUACAAACACAACAUUUAAAAAUAAUUUUUCUAUGAAUAAUCAACUUCUAUGUCAUCAUUUAAAUAGACAUUUUAUCUAAUACUAUUAAACGAGCAAUUCCUUUGUCCCUGUUUUUAGACAAUGAAAAAAUGGCUACAAUAUAGUUAGAAUACGAACGCAAAUUUCGCAAUUGUAAAUAAAGUUGUAAUAGCUCAGGUGGAAAGUCAAGUCAGUCGAUCGAGAUCAACCGAUAACCACGCUUUAAAUCCCCAUGGCCCCAGAUCGAUUUUUUUUUCCUUUUUUUUAAAUUGCACUCAUGAUUUUUUAUUUAAAUAACCAGUUCAUAUUUAUUCGUAUUUUAUCAAUAUGUAAUUCGUAAAUAUGAUUUCCAAAAAACACGAUUUACUAAAAAUACCGAGCUAAGCU